CAUGCGCAGCUUAACAUGCAGUCGAACGGCAGCACGGGAGCAAUCCUGGUGGCGAGUGGCGAACGGGUGAGUAAUAUAUCGGAACGUGCCCAGUCGUGGGGGAUAACGCAGCGAAAGCUGUGCUAAUACCGCAUACGAUCUAUGGAUGAAAGCGGGGGAUCGCAAGACCUCGCGCGAUUGGAGCGGCCGAUAUCAGAUUAGCUAGUUGGUGGGGUAAAGGCCCACCAAGGCGACGAUCUGUAGCUGGUCUGAGAGGACGACCAGCCACACUGGAACUGAGACACGGUCCAGACUCCUACGGGAGGCAGCAGUGGGGAAUUUUGGACAAUGGGCGCAAGCCUGAUCCAGCAAUGCCGCGUGCAGGAUGAAGGCCUUCGGGUUGUAAACUGCUUUUGUACGGAACGAAACGGUCCUUUCUAAUACAAGGGGCUAAUGACGGUACCGUAAGAAUAAGCACCGGCUAACUACGUGCCAGCAGCCGCGGUAAUACGUAGGGUGCGAGCGUUAAUCGGAAUUACUGGGCGUAAAGCGUGCGCAGGCGGUUGUGUAAGACAGAUGUGAAAUCCCCGGGCUCAACCUGGGAACUGCAUUUGUGACUGCACAACUAGAGUGCGGCAGAGGGGGAUGGAAUUCCGCGUGUAGCAGUGAAAUGCGUAGAUAUGCGGAGGAACACCAAUGGCGAAGGCAAUCCCCUGGGCCUGCACUGACGCUCAUGCACGAAAGCGUGGGGAGCAAACAGGAUUAGAUACCCUGGUAGUCCACGCCCUAAACGAUGUCAACUGGUUGUUGGACGGCU
Molecule: ribosomal RNA, 796 nt
Filed under: uncultured bacterium
Lineage: Bacteria
Description: bacterial SSU rRNA
Rfam family: Bacterial small subunit ribosomal RNA
Source: RNAcentral